RNAcentral lists this ribosomal RNA (580 nucleotides) under uncultured rumen bacterium. Its description in RNAcentral is "bacterial SSU rRNA". It matches the Rfam family "Bacterial small subunit ribosomal RNA", at positions 185 to 783 of the family's 1533-position model. The record is from RNAcentral.
GUCACAUGGCUUUAACGCCAAAGAUUUAUCGGUUAAGGAUGGACCUGCGUCUGAUUAGCCAGUUGGUGGGGUAACGGCCUACCAAAGCGACGAUCAGUAGCCGACCUGAGAGGGUGAUCGGCCACAUUGGAACUGAGACACGGUCCAAACUCCUACGGGAGGCAGCAGUGGGGAAUAUUGCACAAUGGGCGCAAGCCUGAUGCAGCAACGCCGCGUGAGCGAAGAAGGCCUUCGGGUUGUAAAGCUCUGUCCUUAGGGACGAAGAAGUGACGGUACCUAAGGAGGAAGCCCCGGCUAACUACGUGCCAGCAGCCGCGGUAAUACGUAGGGGGCGAGCGUUAUCCGGAAUUAUUGGGCGUAAAGAGUACGUAGGUGGUUGCGUAAGCGCAAGGUGAAAGACCGAGGCUUAACUUCGGUGAGCCUUGUGAACUGCGUGACUUGAGUGCAGGAGGGGAAAGUGGAAUUCCUAGUGUAGCGGUGAAAUGCGUAGAUAUUAGGAGGAACACCAGUGGCGAAGGCGACUUUCUGGACUGUAACUGACACUGAGGUACGAAAGCGUGGGGAGCAAACAGGAUUAGAU